Molecule: ribosomal RNA, 254 nt
Filed under: uncultured bacterium
Lineage: Bacteria
Description: partial 16S ribosomal RNA
Rfam family: Bacterial small subunit ribosomal RNA
Source: RNAcentral
UACGUAGGGGGCGAGCGUUGUCCGGAUUUAUUGGGCGUAAAGAGCUCGUAGGCGGUUUGGUAAGUCGGGUGUGAAAUCUCCACGCUCAACGUGGAGGGGCCACUCGAUACUGCCAUGACUCGAGUCCGGUAGAGGAGUGUGGAAUUCCCGGUGUAGCGGUGAAAUGCGCAGAUAUCAGGAGGAACACCGGUGGCGAAGGCAGGUCUCUGGGCCACUACUGACGCUGAGAAGCGAAAGCAUGGGGAGCGAACAGG